UGGGCCAACGGCUUUGCGCUGCCGGGAGAAAGUUGCCUCUGUCUCCAAACCUCAUGCUGAGUUUACUCCAACUUGGGAAGGAUUAAAGGUGGCUGUCGUUAAAUUUAAAGCACCCUAUGCAUAAAUGGUUGGAAGGGGACUCUGCAACCGUGAUGGUAUCGAUAAAUGGUUCAGCGAAAGCGCCUGGUUUUCACCCAUGCUGAAGGAUAUUCAGCAAAUGAAAGCAGCU
RNAcentral lists this long non-coding RNA (229 nucleotides) under Elaeis guineensis (African oil palm). RNAcentral describes it as "long non-coding RNA (EGUI_LNC003918)". Lineage: Eukaryota; Viridiplantae; Streptophyta; Magnoliopsida; Arecales; Arecaceae. The record is from RNAcentral.